RNAcentral lists this ribosomal RNA (253 nucleotides) under uncultured bacterium. Its description in RNAcentral is "partial 16S ribosomal RNA". It matches the Rfam family "Bacterial small subunit ribosomal RNA", at positions 524 to 776 of the family's 1533-position model. The record is from RNAcentral.
UACGUAGGGUGCGAGCGUUAAUCGGAAUUACUGGGCGUAAAGCGUGCGCAGGCGGUUUUGUAAGACAGGUGUGAAAUCCCCGGGCUUAACCUGGGAACUGCAUUUGUGACUGCAUAGCUAGAGUACGGUAGAGGGGGAUGGAAUUCCGCGUGUAGCAGUGAAAUGCGUAGAUAUGCGGAGGAACACCGAUGGCGAAGGCAAUCCCCUGGACCUGUACUGACGCUCAUGCACGAAAGCGUGGGGAGCAAACAGG